CCCUCUUCUUGCACAUGUCGAGAGCAGCAAGCUCCGAUAUCGACAGAUCAUAAUCAGGAGCGAAAUUCGCAGGAUGCCUAAAGAAGGAACAAGUUGCCUGCCAUCACACACACAAACACUGUUAAGGAAUGUAAAUAUAAACACAACAAUCGGAUUUAAGGAAAGACUACUUGCCUCCAGUUUGGCAAGGUCUUGAGGGUCCAAAUUACAAGCGGUGAGGACAUGAAGAACAAUGGAAGGGCUAGCUGCUAAGGGGAAC
Molecule: long non-coding RNA, 259 nt
Filed under: Linum usitatissimum (flax)
Lineage: Eukaryota; Viridiplantae; Streptophyta; Magnoliopsida; Malpighiales; Linaceae
Description: long non-coding RNA (LUSI_LNC000683)
Source: RNAcentral